This 432-nucleotide ribosomal RNA is filed under the name uncultured bacterium. RNAcentral describes it as "partial 16S ribosomal RNA". It matches the Rfam family "Bacterial small subunit ribosomal RNA", at positions 338 to 795 of the family's 1533-position model. The record is from RNAcentral.
CCUACGGGAGGCAGCAGUAGGGAAUAUUGGUCAAUGGAGGCAACUCUGAACCAGCCAUGCCGCGUGCAGGAAGAAGGCCCUUGGGUUGUAACGUUUAAAAUACUGCGUAGGUGUACCGUCAGAAUAAGCCACGGCUAACUACGUGCCAGCAGCCGCGGUAAUACGUAGGUGGCAAGCGUUGUCCGGAUUUAUUGGGUUUAAAGGGUGCGUAGGCGGCCUUGUAAGUCAGCGGUGAAAACUUACAGCUUAACUGUAAGACUGCCAUUGAUACUGCAGGGCUUGAAUUCAAACGAGGUUGGCGGAAUUAAAGGUGUAGCGGUGAAAUGCAUAGAUAUCUUUAAGAACACCGAUAGCGAAGGCAGCUAACUAGAAUGAAUUGACGCUGAGGCACGAAAGCGUGGGGAGCAAACAGGAUUAGAUACCCCAGUAGUC